Molecule: ribosomal RNA, 578 nt
Filed under: uncultured bacterium
Lineage: Bacteria
Description: bacterial SSU rRNA
Rfam family: Bacterial small subunit ribosomal RNA
Source: RNAcentral
ACGGGUGAGUAACACGUGGGCAAUCUGCCCUUCACUCUGGGACAAGCCCUGGAAACGGGGUCUAAUACCGGAUAUCACUUCCACUCGCAUGGGUGGGGGUUGAAAGCUCCGGCGGUGAAGGAUGAGCCCGCGGCCUAUCAGCUUGUUGGUGAGGUAAUGGCUCACCAAGGCGACGACGGGUAGCCGGCCUGAGAGGGCGACCGGCCACACUGGGACUGAGACACGGCCCAGACUCCUACGGGAGGCAGCAGUGGGGAAUAUUGCACAAUGGGCGAAAGCCUGAUGCAGCGACGCCGCGUGAGGGAUGACGGCCUUCGGGUUGUAAACCUCUUUCAGCAGGGAAGAAGCGAAAGUGACGGUACCUGCAGAAGAAGCGCCGGCUAACUACGUGCCAGCAGCCGCGGUAAUACGUAGGGCGCAAGCGUUGUCCGGAAUUAUUGGGCGUAAAGAGCUCGUAGGCGGUCUGUCACGUCGGAUGUGAAAGCCCGGGACUUAACCCCGGGUCUGCAUUCGAUACGGGCAGACUAGAGUGUGGUAGGGGAGAUCGGAAUUCCUGGUGUAGCGGUGAAAUGCGCAGA